GAUGCAGCUCCUAUUCACGCAGCGCAGGCGAGGAAGAGAGGAGGUUGCGGUCCGCAGGCGGCUGCGGAACCGGAGGCCGCAGCCGGAUCGCCGGAAUUUGGCGCCUGUUUUUUGUUGGUUGGGUGUUCUCGCCUGUGAUUGGGCCCCGGCCCCGCGUCGGUGAGCCCGGCUGCUGCUGGUCGGCCGACCUUGGCAGGACCCCGGCGGCGCUGUAGUCGGCUGGCCUCCCGGGGGAUGGGCCACCAGGAGCCCCCGCUGGCCCGAGUGCGGGCCGGACGUGCGGCUUAUAUAAAAAGGUUACGUAAAGGGCUCAGCUGGCGCGAACACGUGGAGAGCCGCGGGAGCCCUGACGCCCAGCUGUCCCCCGAGAGUACCGCUCCCGUCACCCGUGCAGCAGCGGGUUCCGUCGCACAUCCGACCCGGGCCACGGUCUCUCGCGCGGCUAGGUACCCGAAGCAGCCCUGGCCCGGAGCGGACCAUCCCCAGCUGGGGGCCUUUGGGGGGAAACGCGCUGCCCGGAAGUGGAAGGGCGCAGGCCAGGUCACAAUCCAGGGUCCCACUCCUCCGCGUCCCGGGGCCGGACGGAGGGAUGAGGCAGGGGGGUCCCGGGCAGCGCCGUUGCUGCUCCCCCCGCCGCCCGCAGCCAUGGAAACGGGGGAGGAGGACGGCGCCCGCAGAGGUACACAAAGCCCCGAGCGGAAAAGGCGAAGCCCAGUGCCGCGGGCGCUCAGCGCGAAGCUGAGGCCGGCGGCGGUGGCCCAGGCCAUGGAUCCGGUGGCGGCCGAGGCCCCGGGCGAGGCCUACCUGGCGCGGCGGCGGCCGGAGGGCGGCGGCGGGUCGGCGCGGCCGCGCUACAGCCUUUUGGCGGAGAUCGGGCGCGGCAGCUACGGCGUGGUGUACGAGGCAGUGGCCGGGCGCAGCGGGGCCCGGGUGGCGGUCAAGAAGAUCCGCUGCGACGCCCCCGAGAACGUGGAGCUGGCGCUGGCCGAAUUCUGGGCCCUGACCAGCCUCAAGCGGCGCCACCAAAACGUCGUGCAGUUUGAGGAGUGCGUCCUGCAGCGCAACGGGCUAGCCCAGCGCAUGAGCCAUGGCAACAAGAGCUCGCAGCUUUACCUGCGCCUGGUGGAAACCUCGCUCAAAGGAGAAAGGAUCCUGGGUUAUGCUGAGGAGCCCUGCUAUCUCUGGUUUGUCAUGGAGUUCUGUGAAGGUGGAGACCUGAAUCAGUAUGUCCUGUCCCGGAGGCCGGACCCAGCCACCAACAAGAGCUUCAUGCUACAGCUCACGAGCGCCAUUGCCUUCCUGCACAAAAACCACAUCGUGCACAGGGACCUAAAGCCAGACAACAUCCUCAUCACAGAGCGGUCUGGCACCCCCAUCCUCAAGGUGGCAGACUUUGGACUAAGCAAGGUCUGUGCUGGGCUGGCCCCCCGAGGUAAAGAGGGCAAUCAAGACAACAAAAAUGUGAAUGUGAAUAAAUACUGGCUGUCCUCAGCCUGCGGCUCAGACUUCUACAUGGCCCCUGAAGUCUGGGAGGGACACUACACAGCCAAGGCUGACAUCUUUGCCCUGGGCAUUAUCAUCUGGGCAAUGAUAGAAAGAAUCACUUUCAUUGACUCUGAGACCAAGAAGGAGCUCCUGGGGACCUAUAUCAAACAGGGGACUGAGAUCGUCCCUGUUGGUGAGGCGCUGCUAGAAAACCCAAAGAUGGAGUUGCACAUCCCCCAGAAACGCAGGACUUCCAUGUCUGAGGGGAUCAAGCAGCUCUUGAAAGAUAUGUUAGCUGCUAACCCACAGGACCGGCCUGAUGCCUUUGAACUUGAAACCAGAAUGGACCAGGUCACAUGUGCUGCUUAAAAUUCAGGGCAAAGCAUCUUGGGUGUUUUUAAACUAGGUUGAUCCUCGGGACCCACAGUCUCAUCAUGUCUCGCACAGAGGACGGCAGAGGGUACAGGCGGUGGCUUGGCCGGUUGGCGAUCUCCCAACAGCUGAAUCUCCAGCAUUAAGCUGGUAAUCUAGGACCUACGUGUGAACAACUUUAUAUAUGAAUAUUUUUUGUACUUGGUUUACUUGGGUUGCUAUGAUACAUUAUAUUUAAGUUCCUUGAACACUGUGGAUCCCCCUAAUGUGUAUGAAUGACUGAGGCUUUGUAAAUUAAGGGACGUUUGUGUGAAUAAAGUUAUUUGAUGGGGUCAAAGAAGCCAUACGUG
This is a non-coding RNA of Kogia breviceps (pygmy sperm whale), 2207 nucleotides long. NCBI's taxonomy places the organism in Eukaryota, Metazoa, Chordata, Mammalia, Artiodactyla, Physeteridae. The record is from RefSeq and is a predicted model, not a curated record.